AGCAUUAGGGUUUUAAACCCUAAACUGUACACUUUUCCUUUAGUCAGCAUUAGGGUUUUAAACCCUAAACUGAACUCUUUCCUUUAGUCAGCAUUAGGGUUUUAAACCCUAAACUGAAUACUUUUCCUUUAGUCAGCAUUAGGGUUUUAAACCCUAAACUGAACUCUUUCCUUUAGUCAGCAUUAAGGUUUUAAACCCUAAACUGAACACUUUUCCUUUAGUCAGCAUUAGGGUUUUAAACCCUAAACUGAACUCUUUUCCUUCAGUCAGCAUUAGGGUUUUAAACCCUAAACUGAACUCUUUUCCUUCAGUCAGCAUUAGGGUUUUAAACCCUAAACUGAACUCUUCCCUUUAGUCACCAUUAGGGUUUUAAACCCUAAACUGAACUUUUCCCUUUA
This 398-nucleotide long non-coding RNA is filed under the name Nicotiana tabacum (common tobacco). Its description in RNAcentral is "long non-coding RNA (NTAB_LNC008768)". The record is from RNAcentral. Lineage: Eukaryota; Viridiplantae; Streptophyta; Magnoliopsida; Solanales; Solanaceae.